Molecule: ribosomal RNA, 466 nt
Filed under: uncultured bacterium
Lineage: Bacteria
Description: partial 16S ribosomal RNA
Rfam family: Bacterial small subunit ribosomal RNA
Source: RNAcentral
GAUGAACGCUGGCGGCGUGCUUAACACAUGCAAGUCGAACGAUGAAGCCCAGCUUGCUGGGUGGAUUAGUGGCGAACGGGUGAGUAACACGUGAGUAACCUGCCCUUGACUCUGGGAUAAGCCGGGGAAACUGGGUCUAAUACUGGAUAUGACUUCUCAUCGCAUGGUGGGGGGUGGAAAGAUUUAUUGGUCUUGGAUGGACUCGCGGCCUAUCAGCUUGUUGGUGAGGUAAUGGCUCACCAAGGCGACGACGGGUAGCCGGCCUGAGAGGGUGACCGGCCACACUGGGACUGAGACACGGCCCAGACUCCUACGGGAGGCAGCAGUGGGGAAUAUUGCACAAUGGGCGCAAGCCUGAUGCAGCGACGCCGCGUGAGGGAUGACGGCCUUCGGGUUGUAAACCUCUUUCAGUAGGGAAGAAGCGAGAGUGACGGUACCUGCAGAAGAAGCGCCGGCUAACUACGUG